Molecule: ribosomal RNA, 2923 nt
Filed under: Lactiplantibacillus plantarum
Lineage: Bacteria; Bacillati; Bacillota; Bacilli; Lactobacillales; Lactobacillaceae
Description: bacterial LSU rRNA
Rfam family: Bacterial large subunit ribosomal RNA
Source: RNAcentral
AGGUUAAGUUAACAAGGGCGCAUGGUGAAUGCCUUGGCACUAGGAGCCGAUGAAGGACGGGACUAACACCGAUAUGCUUCGGGGAGCUGUACGUAAGCUAUGAUCCGGAGAUUUCCGAAUGGGGCAACCCAGCAGUUUUAAUCAACUGUUACCACUAGAUGAAUUCAUAGUCUAGUUGGAGGUAAACGCUGUGAACUGAAACAUCUCAUUAGCAGCAGGAAUAUAAAGAAAUUUCGAUUCCCUAAGUAGCGGCGAGCGAACGGGGAACAGCCCAAACCAAAGUGCUUGCACUUUGGGGUUGUAGGACUGAACAUUUGAGUUACCAAAGAACUUGAUAGUCGAAGGAUUUGGGAAAAUCCGCCAUAGAUGGUGAUAGCCCAGUAGAUUAAAUCAAAUUCUCUCAGUUCAGGAUCCUGAGUACGGCGGAACACGUGAAAUUCCGUCGGAAUCCGGGAGGACCAUCUCCCAAGGCUAAAUACUACCUAGUGACCGAUAGUGAACCAGUACCGUGAGGGAAAGGUGAAAAGCACCCCGGGAGGGGAGUGAAAUAGUUCCUGAAACCAUGUGCCUACAAUAAGUCAGAGCGCGUUAAUGCGUGAUGGCGUGCCUUUUGUAGAAUGAACCGGCGAGUUAUGAUCCCGUGCAAGGUUAAGACUAAAAAGUCGGAGCCGUAGCGAAAGCGAGUCUGAAAUGGGCGUUUUGAGUACGAGGUUAUAGACCCGAAACCAGGUGACCUAUCCAUGUCCAGGUUGAAGGUGCGGUAAAACGCACUGGAGGACCGAACCCGUGUAAGUUGAAAAUUGCUGGGAUGAGGUGUGGAUAGCGGUGAAAUUCCAAACGAACUUGGAGAUAGCUGGUUCUCUCCGAAAUAGCUUUAGGGCUAGCCUCGGAAUUAGGAUCAUGGAGGUAGAGCACUAUUUGGACUAGGGGCCCGUCUUGGGUUACUGAAUUCAGAUAAACUCCGAAUGCCAUUGAUUCAUAUCCGGGAGUCAGACGAUGAGUGAUAAGAUCCACCGUCGAAAGGGGAACAGCCCAGACCAUCAGUUAAGGUCCCUAAAUGUAUGCUAAGUGGAAAAGGAUGUGGAGUUGCAUAGACAACUAGGAUGUUGGCUCAGAAGCAGCCACCAUUUAAAGAGUGCGUAAUAGCUCACUAGUCGAGUGAUCCUGCGCCGAAAAUGUACCGGGGCUAAGCAUACUACCGAAACCAUGGAUGCGACCAUUAGGUCGCGUGAUAGGAGAGCGUUCUAAGGGCGGUGAAGCAAGAUCGUGAGGACUUGUGGAGCGCUUAGAAGUGAGAAUGCCGGUAUGAGUAGCGAAAGAUAGGUGAGAAUCCUAUCCACCGAAUGACUAAGGUUUCCUGGGGAAGGCUCGUCCUCCCAGGGUUAGUCGGGACCUAAGUCGAGGCCGAGAGGCGUAGACGAUGGAUAACAGGUUGAGAUUCCUGUACUAGUUAAGUGCGUUUGAGCAAUGGAGGGACGCAGGAGGCUAAGAUGUGCAUUCUGUUGGAUUAGAAUGUCCAAGCAGUAAGUCUUGUGAAGAGUCAAAUGCUUUUCACUUUAAGGACAAGCUGUGAUGGGGAGCGAAAUUUAGUAGCGAAGCGUCUGAUGUCACACUGCCGAGAAAAGCUUCUAGUGAGUACUUAACUACCCGUACCGCAAACCGACACAGGUAGUCGAGGAGAGAAUCCUAAGGUGAGCGAGUGAACUCUCGUUAAGGAACUCGGCAAAAUGACCCCGUAACUUCGGGAGAAGGGGUGCUGAUCGCAAGAUCAGCCGCAGUGAAUAGGCCCAGGCGACUGUUUAUCAAAAACACAGGUCUCUGCAAAAUCGCAAGAUGACGUAUAGGGGCUGACGCCUGCCCGGUGCUGGAAGGUUAAAAGGAUGGGUUAGCUUCGGCGAAGCUCAGAAUUGAAGCCCCAGUAAACGGCGGCCGUAACUAUAACGGUCCUAAGGUAGCGAAAUUCCUUGUCGGGUAAGUUCCGACCCGCACGAAAGGCGUAACGAUCUGGGCACUGUCUCAACGAGAGACUCGGUGAAAUUAUAUUGUCCGUGAAGAUGCGGACUACCCGCGACAGGACGGAAAGACCCCAUGGAGCUUUACUGUAGCUUGAUAUUGAGUGUUUGUACAGCUUGUACAGGAUAGGUAGGAGCCAUAGAAACCGGAACGCUAGUUUCGGUGGAGGCGUUGGUGGGAUACUACCCUCGCUGUAUGACCACUCUAACCCGCACCACUAAUCGUGGUGGGAGACAGUGUCAGGUGGGCAGUUUGACUGGGGCGGUCGCCUCCUAAAAAGUAACGGAGGCGCCCAAAGGUUCCCUCAGAAUGGUUGGAAAUCAUUCGCAGAGUGUAAAGGCACAAGGGAGCUUGACUGCGAGACAGACAGGUCGAGCAGGGACGAAAGUCGGGCUUAGUGAUCCGGUGGUACCGUAUGGAAGGGCCAUCGCUCAACGGAUAAAAGCUACCCUGGGGAUAACAGGCUUAUCUCCCCCAAGAGUCCACAUCGACGGGGAGGUUUGGCACCUCGAUGUCGGCUCAUCGCAUCCUGGGGCUGUAGUCGGUCCCAAGGGUUGGGCUGUUCGCCCAUUAAAGCGGUACGCGAGCUGGGUUCAGAACGUCGUGAGACAGUUCGGUCCCUAUCCGUCGCGGGCGUAGGAAAUUUGAGAGGACCUGUCCUUAGUACGAGAGGACCGGGAUGGACAUACCUCUGGUGUACCAGUUGUGCCGCCAGGCGCAUCGCUGGGUAGCUACGUAUGGAUGUGAUAAACGCUGAAAGCAUCUAAGUGUGAAACACACCUCGAGAUGAGAUUUCCCAUUCCUUUAUGGAAGUAAGACCCCUGAAAGAUGAUCAGGUAGAUAGGUUAGAAGUGGCAGUGCGGUGACGCAUGAAGCGGACUAAUACUAAUCGGUCGAGGACUUAACCAAG